This 1554-nucleotide ribosomal RNA is filed under the name Staphylococcus aureus. Its description in RNAcentral is "16S ribosomal RNA". It matches the Rfam family "Bacterial small subunit ribosomal RNA". The record is from RNAcentral. Lineage: Bacteria; Bacillati; Bacillota; Bacilli; Caryophanales; Staphylococcaceae.
UUUAUGGAGAGUUUGAUCCUGGCUCAGGAUGAACGCUGGCGGCGUGCCUAAUACAUGCAAGUCGAGCGAACGGACGAGAAGCUUGCUUCUCUGAUGUUAGCGGCGGACGGGUGAGUAACACGUGGAUAACCUACCUAUAAGACUGGGAUAACUUCGGGAAACCGGAGCUAAUACCGGAUAAUAUUUUGAACCGCAUGGUUCAAAAGUGAAAGACGGUCUUGCUGUCACUUAUAGAUGGAUCCGCGCUGCAUUAGCUAGUUGGUAAGGUAACGGCUUACCAAGGCAACGAUGCAUAGCCGACCUGAGAGGGUGAUCGGCCACACUGGAACUGAGACACGGUCCAGACUCCUACGGGAGGCAGCAGUAGGGAAUCUUCCGCAAUGGGCGAAAGCCUGACGGAGCAACGCCGCGUGAGUGAUGAAGGUCUUCGGAUCGUAAAACUCUGUUAUUAGGGAAGAACAUAUGUGUAAGUAACUGUGCACAUCUUGACGGUACCUAAUCAGAAAGCCACGGCUAACUACGUGCCAGCAGCCGCGGUAAUACGUAGGUGGCAAGCGUUAUCCGGAAUUAUUGGGCGUAAAGCGCGCGUAGGCGGUUUUUUAAGUCUGAUGUGAAAGCCCACGGCUCAACCGUGGAGGGUCAUUGGAAACUGGAAAACUUGAGUGCAGAAGAGGAAAGUGGAAUUCCAUGUGUAGCGGUGAAAUGCGCAGAGAUAUGGAGGAACACCAGUGGCGAAGGCGACUUUCUGGUCUGUAACUGACGCUGAUGUGCGAAAGCGUGGGGAUCAAACAGGAUUAGAUACCCUAGUAGUCCACGCCGUAAACGAUGAGUGCUAAGUGUUAGGGGGUUUCCGCCCCUUAGUGCUGCAGCUAACGCAUUAAGCACUCCGCCUGGGGAGUACGACCGCAAGGUUGAAACUCAAAGGAAUUGACGGGGACCCGCACAAGCGGUGGAGCAUGUGGUUUAAUUCGAAGCAACGCGAAGAACCUUACCAAAUCUUGACAUCCUUUGACAACUCUAGAGAUAGAGCUUUCCCCUUCGGGGGACAAAGUGACAGGUGGUGCAUGGUUGUCGUCAGCUCGUGUCGUGAGAUGUUGGGUUAAGUCCCGCAACGAGCGCAACCCUUAAGCUUAGUUGCCAUCAUUAAGUUGGGCACUCUAAGUUGACUGCCGGUGACAAACCGGAGGAAGGUGGGGAUGACGUCAAAUCAUCAUGCCCCUUAUGAUUUGGGCUACACACGUGCUACAAUGGACAAUACAAAGGGCAGCGAAACCGCGAGGUCAAGCAAAUCCCAUAAAGUUGUUCUCAGUUCGGAUUGUAGUCUGCAACUCGACUACAUGAAGCUGGAAUCGCUAGUAAUCGUAGAUCAGCAUGCUACGGUGAAUACGUUCCCGGGUCUUGUACACACCGCCCGUCACACCACGAGAGUUUGUAACACCCGAAGCCGGUGGAGUAACCUUUUAGGAGCUAGCCGUCGAAGGUGGGACAAAUGAUUGGGGUGAAGUCGUAACAAGGUAGCCGUAUCGGAAGGUGCGGCUGGAUCACCUCCUUUCU